RNAcentral lists this non-coding RNA (29 nucleotides) under Mus musculus (house mouse). Lineage: Eukaryota; Metazoa; Chordata; Mammalia; Rodentia; Muridae. The record is from RNAcentral.
UGAGAAGGAUGCCGAUUCUAUGUCAUCUA